GAAGCUCUGCUUAUGAAACACAGGCAUCACCAAAGCCAAGCACAGGGCCCCCUGCCCACUGGAACAGCUUCCCACGCUGCUGGAAUCGCUGUUUCUAGGGACCCUGUCCUGUCCUCUCCUCUCCUGUCCGCUCCUUUCACCUCACCUCUCUUCCUCCCUCUGCUUUCCCUGCUGCCUCUUCCUCCUGGCCUCCUCUCCUCCUGCCUCUGCCCUCUUCUCCUGUUCCCUCUGUCUUUCCCUUCCCAGAUGGGCAUCCGAGUCCCUGGUGACUCAGCUCGCCUGUGUCUCCCCAGGCAGGUGCAUCUGGUUCAGUCACAUUAAAAAUAUAUCCAUUGGCCACACGCAGUUGACGCUUCAAUCUGUUCCCUGCCUCUGCUUUCCAGGAACAGGCUACUCAAAACCCAAAGGAGGGCUGGUGAGACCAGAGAAGAAGAGGCACAGACUCUGGGGCCCAGGCCUUCCAAGCCCACACGUCACACUUCACCACGCGCUCAGAAAGGAAUCAUCAGCACGCCCAGGGUCAUCCGUCUCUUUUGAAUUACAAGAAGAAAGAAGGAGAAGAAUGAGGAAGAGGAGAGGAGGUGGCACAGGGGAACAAGGCACCGUGAGCCCACCUCUUCAUUUGUAUGAGAGCAGCACUGUCACCAGCAUCCCUGUCUGGGAUAUGGGAUGUGUGUGUGUGUAUUCUUUUGCCAGUUAGAUCUUCAAAUUCACCCUGUUCUUCAAUUCCAGGAUGACAAAAGCCACUUGCAGGGUCUGGAGGGGAAGGCAGGGCCCUUUCUGGGGCCCCCUAGUUGCACCUGCUUGCUCAGCCCACACCUCAUGACACCAAUCCUGCCUUCCUGCGCACCACAGGGAUGGGGAACUUCCCACCCCUGGAGAGGAGCAGCCGCAGAGGUGGGAACAGGAAGGAGAUGGGGGUCUGGGGUCACACUGGCGUGACACAGGGAAACAAGACUGCUGCCCUCAGAGAGCUCAGAGCCAGGUAGCUAGGUGGCCACAUCACCGGGCCAUGCAUUCCUCAGUGGACACAGGUAACUGCAGUGCAGCAUUCAGGCAGGUGGAUGGGGCAGGCUUCCCAGGCAGACUGGCAUGGGUGGGUUCGCAAGGGGGCAAAGGCAGGAAGCUGGCAGUGACACUAAGGGAAGGAAUGGAAAACUCAAAGGUGGAGAUGGAGAGGGGCAGGCGAGGGCCAGGUGGUAACACCAGGCAAUAUGUCGGUAAUGAACUUUUUUUUUGUACCAGAAGUCGCACUCAGGAUCCUGCACUUGCCAGGCAGAUGCUUGUAUCAGCGAGCUAAACCCCCAGCCCCUAGAGCCCCAGCCUAAUCAAGUGCUCUGUGGAGGAUGGUGCAAGGUGUGAGGUCAGGCUGCUGCCCAUUCAAGGACCAAGCCAGGGGCCAGUGGGGAGGGGCUGGGUCACAGAAGCACUUGGAGUGCUAUGGGAUUGGCUGGGAAGAAAGCGGGGUGCGGGAGGGGAUGUGGUGCCAGCAGCCACAAAAGCAGGGGUGCUGGGGGUGGCAACAUGCAAGAUGCACUGCCCAGCACCUGGCCAGUCCUAGUCCUGCUCCUGCCCCUGGGGACACAGAGGUAACUCACUGAUUUCCCCCUGUUAUUUUUAGGGAUCUUUAUUUAAGGACAAGCUCGAUCUCUGUGUAAAAACCUAUAUCCAGAUGAAUUAUUUUUUACUAAACUGGGAACUCUUCGUUUUCUGUAAUACUAAAACCCAAUGCUGGGUUUCCUCACUUCCUUCUUUUUUCUCCAGCAGGCUUUGCUUACACACCAGGAUGGGUGAGGAUAGCCCUGUCCCUGCACAGGAGCAGGGAGUCACAUUGGGGCCACUCUGGGUGGCAGAGGGCAGAAGUCAGAAGCAUCAGUUUGAGUGUGUAUGAGUGUUUUUCCCUUGAAAUAAAUUUCCCCAUAAAAUGAAUGUCCUGCCUGAAUUAAUCUUAUUUUUAAAGCAGAGAGAGUCA
Long non-coding RNA from Cavia porcellus (domestic guinea pig), 1972 nucleotides. NCBI's taxonomy places the organism in Eukaryota, Metazoa, Chordata, Mammalia, Rodentia, Caviidae. The record is from Ensembl.